RNAcentral lists this ribosomal RNA (253 nucleotides) under uncultured bacterium. Its description in RNAcentral is "partial 16S ribosomal RNA". It matches the Rfam family "Archaeal small subunit ribosomal RNA", at positions 474 to 727 of the family's 1478-position model. The record is from RNAcentral.
UACCAGCACCCCGAGUGGUCGGGACGAUUAUUGGGCCUAAAGCAUCCGUAGCCGGCCUUACAAGUCCUCCGUUAAAUCCAGCUGCUUAACAGAUGGGCUGCGGAGGAUACUAUAAGACUAGGAGGUAGGAGAGGCAAGCGGUACUCAGUGGGUAGGGGUAAAAUCCGUUGAUCCAUUGAAGACCACCAGUGGCGAAGGCGGCUUGCCAGAAUGCGCUCGACGGUGAGGGAUGAAAGCUGGGGGAGCAAACCGG